This 591-nucleotide ribosomal RNA is filed under the name Triticum aestivum (bread wheat). RNAcentral describes it as "partial small subunit ribosomal RNA". Lineage: Eukaryota; Viridiplantae; Streptophyta; Magnoliopsida; Poales; Poaceae. The record is from RNAcentral.
GCUAAAUACCUGACUGGCUGGAUCAUUUUUGGGCUCUUUACAGAUUUAUCGACUUCAAAUGGUUAUCUCAUAGUUGAAGCAAAUGGUGGUCUGAAUCAACAGUGUCUUUUUAUCUGCGAUGCAGUUGUUGUGGCCAGCUUGCUUAAUGCAACUCUUGUGAUCCCAAUAUUUCAUUUGAAUAGCGUUUGGCGCGAUCCUAGCAAAUUUAGUGAUAUUUUUGAUGAAGAUCGUUUUAUCGGGACACUCAGACAACAUGUAAGAGUUGUGAAGGAACUCCCAAAAGAUGUUCUACUGCGUUUCAAUCAUAAUAUAAGAAGCAUACCAAAUAUGCGAACUAAAGCCUACUCAUCCCCAGAUCAAUUAUUUGUUACACAUCGAGGCGCCAUAUUAGUGUUUCUUAUUAUCUACCUUGAUGCCAUACUAAUUUCUGUGAUUCCAAAAUUGCUGGCACCACUUCCUGUUGCCUGUUGGUGCAAGGACCCAUGCCUUCCAUCUGAGAAAUGUAAAGGAUGGAUCAAUUGGCAUUGUCAGCUCAUGUUUAGUUCUUUGUCUCUCAGACGACAUGCAUCUCUCAACACAAUCCUAGGUUAA